RNAcentral lists this ribosomal RNA (675 nucleotides) under Prevotella sp. oral taxon 298. Its description in RNAcentral is "bacterial SSU rRNA". It matches the Rfam family "Bacterial small subunit ribosomal RNA", at positions 371 to 1048 of the family's 1533-position model. The record is from RNAcentral. Lineage: Bacteria; Pseudomonadati; Bacteroidota; Bacteroidia; Bacteroidales; Prevotellaceae.
AUGGGCGAGAGCCUGAACCAGCCAAGUAGCGUGCAGGAUGACGGCCCUAUGGGUUGUAAACUGCUUUUGUAUGGGGAUAAAGUCAAUCACGUGUGAUUGUUUGCAGGUACCAUACGAAUAAGGACCGGCUAAUUCCGUGCCAGCAGCCGCGGUAAUACGGAAGGUCCGGGCGUUAUCCGGAUUUAUUGGGUUUAAAGGGAGCGUAGGCUGGAGAUUAAGUGUGUUGUGAAAUGUAGACGCUCAACGUCUGACUUGCAGCGCAUACUGGUUUCCUUGAGUACGCACAACGUUGGCGGAAUUCGUCGUGUAGCGGUGAAAUGCUUAGAUAUGACGAAGAACUCCGAUUGCGAAGGCAGCUGACGGGAGCGCAACUGACGCUGAAGCUCGAAGGUGCGGGUAUCGAACAGGAUUAGAUACCCUGGUAGUCCGCACAGUAAACGAUGGAUGCCCGCUGUUGGUACCUGGUAUCAGCGGCUAAGCGAAAGCAUUAAGCAUCCCACCUGGGGAGUACGCCGGCAACGGUGAAACUCAAAGGAAUUGACGGGGGCCCGCACAAGCGGAGGAACAUGUGGUUUAAUUCGAUGAUACGCGAGGAACCUUACCCGGGCUUGAAUUGCAGACGAAGGAUUUAGAGAUAAUGACGCCCUUCGGGGUCUCUGUGAAGGUGCUGCAUGG